Chinchilla lanigera (long-tailed chinchilla) is the source of this 488-nucleotide long non-coding RNA. RefSeq lists it as uncharacterized. The record is from RefSeq and is a predicted model, not a curated record. Lineage: Eukaryota; Metazoa; Chordata; Mammalia; Rodentia; Chinchillidae. The transcript has 3 exons.
UGCCGGCGGGAAACAAGCCCCCUUAAUAGGUGAGUUCCGGGGGCUUCCGUCCUGGCGGAAGUGGAUCGGAUCGAUCAACGCCGCCAAGUGGUCAGUUCCGCGGAUCUCAAAUUCCCUUGAGAUGAAAUUAUGAAGUUCUGUGCCGGGCCCAAGGGAGGACAAGGGAGUAAAACACAUCUGUGACAUGAAGUGAUGAGCACCCACACCUGGAAGGCUGCACAGAGCCAGGGAAGACAACAUCAGAAUUUCUCGUCUGGAAAUACGAAACCAGUAGAAUCUGGGAGCUCCUCCUGCGAUUUGGGGAAGGCUGGAAGCCCAUGAAAAGGAGGUCUGCAUGGAGAAGGCAGCUUGGAUUCUGAAGAUGACAGAGGUUGAGAAAAGAAACGUGCUGAGCAGUUUCUAACGGCAGUACAGAAGCUGGGCGUGGUGGUGCUGCCUGUCAUCUCAGCACUCAGGAGGCUGAGGCAAGAGGAUCACUGCGAGUUCAA